CCUACGGGCUGCAGCAGUGAGGAAUAUUGGUCAAUGGACGCGAGCCUGAACCAGCCAAGUAGCGUGGAGGAUGACUGCCCUACGGGUUGUAAACUUCUUUUAUAAAGGAAUAAAGUGAGGCACGUGUGCCUGUUUGUAUGUACUUUAUGAAUAAGGAUCGGCUAACUCCGUGCCAGCAGCCGCGGUAAUACGGAGGAUCCGAGCGUUAUCCGGAUUUAUUUGGUUUAAAGGGAGCGUAGAUGGGUUGGUAAGUAAGUUGUGAAAUUUUGCGGCUCAACCUUAAAAUUGCAAUUGAUACUGGCAGGCGUGAGUACAGUUGAGGUAGGCGGAAUUCGUGGUGUAGCGGUGAAAUGCUUAGAUAUCACGAAGAACUCCGAUUGCGAAGGCAGCUUACUAAACUGCCACUGACAUUGAGGCUCGAAAGUGUGGGUAUCAAACAGGAUUAGAUACCCGUGUAGUC
This 460-nucleotide ribosomal RNA is filed under the name uncultured bacterium. RNAcentral describes it as "partial 16S ribosomal RNA". It matches the Rfam family "Bacterial small subunit ribosomal RNA", at positions 338 to 795 of the family's 1533-position model. The record is from RNAcentral.